This is an RNA transcript of Chiroxiphia lanceolata (lance-tailed manakin), 9476 nucleotides long. It is a transcript of the gene named glutamate ionotropic receptor AMPA type subunit 3, with no coding region annotated. The transcript is spliced from 16 exons. The record is from RefSeq and is a predicted model, not a curated record. Lineage: Eukaryota; Metazoa; Chordata; Aves; Passeriformes; Pipridae.
CCUCCGCCAGCAUCGCCACCACCAUUGACACCGCUCCGAGUCUCCAGUUGCGCCCAUGCCUGUGCCGCCAGUUUCGGUUUAGGGGCUGAACCGCAGGGGCUGAAGAAAAUGGGGCAGAGCGCGCCCCGGACCCUCCUGCUGCUGCUGGCGGGGCUGCUGGGGGAGGCUCUGGCGGGGUUCCCCAACACCAUCAGUAUAGGUGGACUUUUCAUGAGGAACACUGUUCAGGAGCACAGUGCGUUUCGAUUUGCUGUGCAGUUAUACAACACGAACCAAAAUACCACAGAAAAGCCCUUCCAUUUGAACUAUCAUGUAGAUCACUUGGACUCUUCCAACAGUUUUUCAGUGACAAAUGCUUUCUGUUCACAGUUUUCCAGAGGAGUUUAUGCCAUCUUUGGAUUCUAUGACCAGAUGUCAAUGAACACACUGACAUCAUUUUGUGGAGCCCUUCACACAUCCUUCAUCACACCCAGCUUCCCAACAGAUGCAGAUGUGCAGUUUGUCAUCCAGAUGAGGCCAGCAUUAAAAGGAGCCAUCUUGAGUCUCUUGACUUACUAUAAGUGGGAAAAGUUUGUGUACCUCUAUGACACAGAACGGGGAUUUUCUAUUCUUCAGGCGAUUAUGGAAGCAGCAGUACAGAACAACUGGCAAGUGACAGCCAGAUCUGUAGGAAGCAUAAAGGAUGUUCAAGAGUUCAGAAGAAUUAUAGAGGAGAUGGACAGACGGCAAGAAAAAAGAUACUUAAUUGACUGUGAAGUAGACAGAAUCAACACCAUUUUGGAACAGGUUGUAGUCCUCGGCAAACAUUCUAGAGGCUAUCACUACAUGUUAGCUAACCUGGGUUUCACAGACAUUGUUCUGGAGAGAGUAAUGCAUGGAGGUGCCAACAUUACUGGAUUCCAGAUUGUUAAUAAUGAAAACCCAAUGGUUCAACAAUUUCUACAGCGCUGGGUGAGGCUUGACGAAAGGGAAUUCCCUGAAGCUAAAAACUCACCAUUAAAGUACACAUCUGCACUGACCCACGAUGCAGUCCUGGUCAUAGCAGAGGCUUUCCGUUACCUCCGAAGACAGCGUGUGGAUGUCUCCAGGAGAGGCAGUGCUGGAGACUGCCUGGCUAACCCUGCAGUACCAUGGAGCCAAGGAAUUGAUAUAGAGAGAGCACUGAAAAUGGUGCAAGUUCAAGGAAUGACAGGGAACAUCCAGUUCGACACCUAUGGGCGGAGAAUGAAUUACACAAUUGAUGUGUAUGAAAUGAAAGCUGGUGGGUCACGGAAGGCUGGUUAUUGGAAUGAAUAUGAAAGAUUUGUGCCAGCAUUAGAUCAGCUCCCCUCUAAUGACAGCUCAUCUGUGGAGAACAGAACUAUAGUAGUCACUACCAUCUUGGAAUCACCAUAUGUAAUGUAUAAGAAAAACCAUGAACAACUAGAAGGGAAUGAGAGAUAUGAAGGAUAUUGUGUAGACUUAGCUUCUGAAAUAGCAAAACAUGUUGGAAUAAAAUACAAACUGUCAAUUGUUGGAGAUGGGAAAUAUGGAGCUAGGGACCCUGAGACUAAGAUAUGGAAUGGCAUGGUGGGUGAACUGGUCUAUGGGAGAGCAGAUAUAGCUGUUGCCCCCCUCACCAUAACACUGGUGCGAGAAGAAGUCAUAGACUUUUCCAAACCCUUUAUGAGCCUGGGCAUCUCCAUCAUGAUCAAGAAGCCUCAGAAAUCUAAACCGGGCGUAUUCUCUUUCCUGGAUCCUUUGGCUUAUGAAAUUUGGAUGUGUAUAGUCUUUGCUUACAUUGGCGUCAGCGUAGUUCUUUUCCUAGUCAGCAGAUUCAGCCCUUAUGAAUGGCACUUGGAAGACAGCACUGAAGAACCACGUGACCCUCAGAAUCCUCCUGACCCUCCAAAUGAGUUUGGAAUAUUUAACAGCCUUUGGUUUUCCCUGGGUGCCUUUAUGCAGCAAGGAUGCGAUAUUUCUCCAAGGUUUGUUCCAUGUCACUCCAUCACCUUUUUGCAUUUUAUGGUCAUUUUCUGAUGCCAUGGUGCAUAUACGUUACUUUUUCAAAUUUCUUUUUUAAUUCCAAAUUUUUUAUUUUGAGAUUCCAUUCAAUGUUCAGCAUCAUCUUCAAGCCACCAUGCUUGCUAACAUUCACCUCCAGAGUGAGUAGCAUUGCUUAUAAUGCCAUUUAUGCAUUUCUGCCAGACUUAUAUUCACCAUGUUAAGGCUGUAAAAUGCAUAGGGUUUUCUGUUUUCAGCAAUGCUUGGAGGGCUACCGUGUUUUUGCUGCAUAUCUCAUUUUACGGUCAUCUCCUUGGUGCAUAAAACACAUUCUGCUUUGCAAAAUAAGAAUUAUUUAUUUUUGAAAGUCACAUGCAACAGCACUUUAAAGCAUCUCCACUCCCAUUAAGGCUCCUGCUAGUCUUUUUACUUUCUUUUGAGCCUAAUUUCUCCGGUUUUGUUUUUCUUGAACCAUCCUUUCAUCUAUUAGUAAUUUGCUUUUCACCACAUUUUUGCAUAUAUUUGGGUCUCUGUAUUCACUGUGUCUGUACUGCCUUGUAUCUCUAUUGUUAUUUCAGUCCAGUCUAAUCUGUUGUCCCUCUAUUCAUAGUCAAUAUGGUCUAAUAAGCAUUGCCAGUUUCCAUAAAGAUAUUUCUUAUUCAUGAAGACAGUCUUUCUGGAUAAGGCUGUAGUAAAGUAUGUUUGACAUUAGUUCCAGUGUAACCGAGAACAGGGCUAUUAACUAUUGUAGACUUAAUUUCUGUAUUUGAAAAACCAGCUGAGAAUAGUGAGGUUCCAUCUGAUUGAACAGUGCAUACCACAGAUGUUUUUUGAAUAACAUAUAGCAUGUUUCUGCAUUUACACUGGUAAAAUGCUUUAGUGAUAUGCUUGUGAUAAGCAGUAAAAUUAUCUAGUUUCUUAGUGAGGGAGCACUAAUUAUAUUUUGUAUGACAAUAAUCUAAUAAUCAGUUUACAGCUAUUUUAAUUAUUCCAAAUACCUGCUUAGUACAAACAGGAUGCAGUUUUUCCAUUUAACAAGGUUGCUAUUUAGAGGAAGAGAGGCAGAUCAUUUCUGAGCAUUGGCAUUUGAAAUGCACCUUUUUAAUCUCCACGUUUGUUACCUUUUUCAAUACCUGAAUCACUGAAAAGUCGCCAGGUUUUCCUGGUCCAUAUAGCAGUGGGGUUCUUGAGUAGCCCCCAUGAAACAAGUGACUAUGAAGUUUCAUGGGAAAGAUCAUGAUUUUACCUGUUAUAGUGUAACAACAAUCCUCUAAAUUCACAGUCGUUGCAUAUUCAAAUGUCCUUCUGACGGCAGUGAGAUCCAGGACUUUGGUAGUUACUGGUGUGUGCCUGGUGAUAUUUGAUGCAAGUCACGCCCACAUUUUAAAAGUCUUGACAGCAGCAAUUGUAUUUCAUUCUUACCAACGAAUCCAUGUGUACCCUCUGUAGCACACACACGUUUUGCCCUGGCUGUGACCACGUGUCAGUUUUCCCGGUUCCCUGUGCCUGGGUGUGCUGCCUCCCUGUGUGGUUACAGCUGUCGGUCUGUUCUUCCUGUUCACGCUCCGUGUUUCUGCUUUAUGCCUAAAUCCUGCACUGAAACUUUGCCUCCCUGCUUGCUGUGGAAGGGGAUGAGCAGUGAUAACAUUUAAAUUGCUGUUGACCAUGUGUGUGCCCAACAUAAAGGACCGGGAAAUAAGCACUGGGACAUCACAUGGAAAGCUGCAGGCAUUGCACUGUUUCCACUAGGUCUGGUUAUUGACAGUUAAAUAGAAGUGCAUAGGAUUUUUGUUAAGCUCUCAUGUGACUCUUUGGUAUGUUCAGCCAUUUCCCUUAUAUAACAAGAGGAACAUAAUCUGGUUUUUCUCAAUAGUACCAUGAUAAGUGCCUUGGAUAUACCUACAAUAAAGAAAAGAGGCAGCAGUAUACCUAUUUAUUUUAACUGUCCAUCAGAAGCUAUUAGCUCAGUAUUAAUAUAUAACCCUUGUUUGAAAACAUUGUCCAGUUCUUUUGUUAUCUUCUAUGAUAACAUUCCAGACAGUUACAUGCAUUGUUACUGAAAAGAAAGACAAAUUUAACACUUGGGUUUAAAUUCCAGAAACACUGUUUCUUUGACCUAUAUGUUGAUUUAAGUUGAUUAAAAUGUCAAAUUUCUUUUCCGUAGAAGGGACUAUUCCCAAGUAUUCCAUUCUUAAUCCGUAUCUUUGUAAGGUUACGCCGUUCACAGUACAUUGACUAUAUGAAUGUUUCAUACUAUUUUAUUGCCAUUAAAAGGGGCUUCAUUCUUCCAUUGUGAGUUUUGUCUGAAUAAAUUUCUUAUAUGAGAGCAUACAGCACUUGUAGAGAGAUGCCGACAAGCAGUCUGGAGAGAUCACUUUUGUACUUGCUGAUAAAGGCUCUUUCAGCUGCCUUUGUGUGGAACAGCUGUGACAUCUAAUGACUAGUUAGAUCUGUCCUCGGUGAGUAUGCUGUGUGGAUAUUCCAGAGGAUAUAUCCCUAUACUCUCCUCUCUAUAUUUAAUAGGAGUCGUCUAAACAGAAUCAGAGAGCAGCCAAAGGGUGGGGGUUAGUGCACCCCUUGAUGGAAUCAACACUUAUUUCAGCAGUUUUGUUCUGCUAUCAAAGGCUGCUGUGUUUUCUGCAUAGUGAGCUAAAGCAUUGAAAAUUCACUUUUGAUGGAUCAAAAGUAGAUUAUUAAACUUGCUUUUAUGUGAGAUGUGUACAGCAAAUGGAAUCAGGAAAAGACACAGUCAGAUUUGUAACACUGUUUUGAGCGAAUGUAUCUUUGAAAACUCUAUGUGAGCAUGUAUUUUCAUUUUGCUCUUUAUUCAUGUAGAACAAAGAGGCUAGAUUAAUUAAUUGCUGAUGGAAAAAGACAGGGGGUUCAUUAAAAACUGUCUCAAGAGGUUGGUCAUUUUGAGGGUGUAUUUCUAGGUCCCUGUUUUAACAGCAGGAGACUCGAGAGACUCCUAUUAAAGGCCAUGGGAAUGACUUUGUGGGACUUUCACAGUAACAAUGAGAGCCAGGUAACUAGAGAUUUCUGAAACUCCCACUGCCAUUCCUAUGAUGGAAGCAUCUCAAGCCAGUGCUUUAGAUGCUGUUGUUGAGUGUGUUGUGUCCCUGUAGCUGAGGCGAGGGCUGGCUGGGUGAGAGAGCGAGGGGCUGGGCUCGCAGGUAAUGUGUGCUCAGAAUAUCAAGGGCUUCUAGACCAGGAUAGUUUGUACCAAAGUUGUUCAGGGUUAUUUGUCAGUACAGCAACCACCUUGUGUCGAUCCAGAGAGCCCAAUUAAAGACUGAGUAGUUGUGAGAAGCUUAUUAUUUCUGUGUACUAUAGGAAAUCAAAUAUGUUUUAUGGCCAUGAGCAGAAACAAAAUUCAAGCUAUCUUGAUAAAUGAGGUUUUGGUUGAAUGUAUUAUUCUCCUGGAAACUGAAUGUGAAUUUGAAUAUUUAUUUUGUUUUUUCUCUCGUUACUAAUUUGCUCUCAUUUGACUCCAUGCUUCCUUUUAAAUUUCCUCUCAAGAUCUCUCUCAGGGCGAAUUGUCGGAGGAGUCUGGUGGUUCUUCACUCUCAUCAUUAUCUCUUCCUACACUGCUAAUCUCGCUGCCUUCCUUACGGUGGAAAGGAUGGUUUCACCCAUAGAGAGCGCAGAGGACCUGGCUAAACAAACCGAAAUAGCCUAUGGCACUUUGGAUUCAGGUUCAACCAAAGAAUUCUUUAGAAGGUCAAAAAUAGCUGUCUACGAGAAAAUGUGGUCGUACAUGAAGUCGGCCGAGCCUUCGGUGUUCACCAAAACGACGGCGGACGGGGUGGCGAGGGUGCGGAAGUCCAAGGGGAAGUUUGCCUUCCUGCUGGAGUCGACGAUGAACGAGUACAUCGAGCAGCGCAAGCCCUGCGACACCAUGAAAGUUGGAGGCAACCUGGAUUCCAAGGGCUAUGGUGUAGCAACCCCCAAAGGCUCAGCAUUAAGGUGGGUGGAAUAAUAUAACAAUAUCCAUGUUGUUAUAGUAUUCCACCUACCCUGAUGUAUUGUGUUGUCAUUUUCUUUCUUGUGGAUUUUGAGGUAACUUUAAAGUUUAAAAUCUUCAAUAUUCCAUGGAGUUAAAUAAGACGGUAAAUUAUGGUUUCAUUUAUUUAAUGCAUCCAUUUUUUGUGUUCUCUUCGUGUUGUCCUUUCUGAUUGUUUGUUGCUGUUUUAAUUUUACAGUUCAAUGGCUUUUUCAAUUUAAAUGGUAAAAGCCAAGUUAACCUGCCAUAUGUGACGAAUGUUAACUGCAUGAUGUGGUGUUCUUGUUACUUUUUUUCUCAAAGACGAUUUCCCCAUCCCGCACACUUCAGUUUUGAGCAAAUGUUAUCCUCCAUGCCACCUUCCAAUAUUUAACCCUGUAUUUGCUGUACAGACAUUUUGAUAGCUCCACGUUCUGUGAAAUUUUAGCCAAUUUGUCCUCUUGUGCUCCUUUUUUUAUACGUUACGAUUUCCUAAGCAUUUGUGCAUUUUUUCUUACAAGUUAUGUUUUAUCGUUUCAAGAAAUGCUGUUAACCUGGCAGUAUUAAAACUGAAUGAGCAAGGCCUCUUGGACAAAUUGAAAAACAAAUGGUGGUACGACAAAGGAGAGUGCGGCAGCGGGGGAGGUGACUCCAAGAACUCCUGUAAACCUUGCAGUAUUGAAACUCAGUGAACAAGGCAUCUUAGACAAGCUGAAAAACAAAUGGUGGUACGAUAAGGGUGAAUGUGGAGCCAAGGACUCCGGAAGUAAGGACAAGACGAGCGCUCUGAGCCUGAGCAAUGUUGCUGGGGUGUUCUAUAUCCUUGUGGGAGGCCUGGGGCUGGCCAUGAUGGUGGCACUGAUCGAGUUCUGCUACAAGUCUCGGGCCGAGUCCAAGCGAAUGAAACUCACCAAGAACACGCAGAACUUCAAACCUGCUCCCUCCACCAACACCCAGAAUUACGCUACCUACAGAGAAGGCUACAACGUGUACGGCACAGAAAGUGUGAAAAUCUAGGGAUCCUCACCCUGACAGCAUGCAAGAGGAAAAGCAGCAGAGAAUGUGGCUACUUCAUGGAUUUGGACCACCUGAGCCAGUCGUACUCUCUCCGAGGUGUCAGGCGUGACACGCGUUGAUGAUGGUGCAAUGUACUUUUAAUAGGAAAAACUGAUUUUUUUUUUCCUUCAGUGCCUUAUGGAAGACUCUGAGACUCACAACAAUGCAAACCAUCAGUGAAAUAUUCUUGCUUUGCUUGAAAGAAGUAAAAGAAAAGAAGAGAGGAAAACGAAAGAAAAAGAAAAUUUAAAAAAAAAAAAGAGAAAAAGAAAAUAAAACCAAAAAAAAAAAAAAAAGAAAAAUGAGAAAAAGAGAAAAGGAAAAAGAAAAGGAAAGGACGGGUAACAAGAUGUUGGUAUGAGAAAAAAAAUUCUUGUAAUAAAAAUCAGUGCAACAAAAGCCAUUCUUUGAUACCACUGCACAGUAACUGAACUUGUGUCCUGAAAGCAAAUCGCAGCCGGUUUCCUCAGCCACCCCAAUCGUAUCAAAUUAUGAAACUCCUCCUGACACAAAGCCUCAGAAAUCUGCUGCGUGCGAGCACGGACCGGCCUGCCACUGCUUGUAGGAGCUGAUGUCAAGAUGUUUCAGUAUUUACUUACAGUGGUGUGAUUUUAUUUUUUUUUCUGAGCCACUUUGAUCUCUCCAGCUAAUUUGAGCAAUUCUGUAUAACAGUAAAAGGUGUAACACCUGAAGAAAAGAGUCUGUGCAUUCAAACCAAUUAAGGUCAAUGACCGUGAAUCCGUAAAUCCAAAAGAAGGGAAUUUGUGGAACUGCAUGUCUUGCUUCCAGAUCAAUAAAUUAAUUCCUUGACAAGGUAGCUAAAGUGCAGGCAGAAAAUAUUGCAUUCCUUUUUUUGUUCUAUCAUCAGGCAUACCUACAGGUGCUUUAUUAAAAUGACAUUGGGUGGCUUUUAAAAUAAAAAAAUAAAGGAAAAGCUACUUGCUGUUUAGGUUCAGACCAUAUAUCUCUUUUCUUGCUGUGCAUUUGCAUUUUAAUUCACUGUUUAAUAUCAAGCAAUGAAGCAAGAGAAGGGCAGGUUAGUUUUUUCCCAGGCCUGCUUCUGCUUCACCCCAGUUCUCUCCCAACUAGCACUGUGCUCAGCUAAUGCUUCUCAGUAAUGGUCCUUGUAAAACAGAAGUAAGAGAAGAGGAUAGUAACUCAAAUUAGAGCUGCAGUUCCAGAGUAAUAGUAAGCGAUCUAACAUGACUCCUGCUAGUACUGUUAUAUUAUAUCAGCUCCUGCCAACUCUUGUUUCAUGGCUCCUGGUGAGAGGAUGCUCCUGUCCCUGCCUCUCAGUGAGGAGGACACCGCACUCCACCAGCUCUGCUCCAGGCAGGGGCUCGCUAUUACUCACAUCCAGCGUCUUAGACAGCAGCAUUUCAGCCUUGAACCUCUGCCUGGAAACUACUGAACUUCAUCUUUAAAAAUAAAAAUUUAAAAAAAAAAAAAAAGGAAAAGACAAAAAAAAAAAAAAAAAAAGGAAACCACAAACCUUUAAACAUAUUGUCAAUCACAUGGGAAAUGUUCAGUGGAAUAUCUGCAUACUAAUUACCUCUAAUCGACAAUAUGUAUUUUCUGUAGUUUACGAUAUAGAGUUUUAUUUCAUCAGUAACAUACAAUGAAAAAGAAACUCAUUUAAACCAGUCUGACCCUUAGGCGUUUAGUUUGCUGAUGAUAGAUUUGAACUUUUAAUAGGAUUUAAAAACAAAAACAAAAAAAAAAAAAAAAAGAAAAAGAAAGUCUCGUAAAAAAUAAGUAUUUCCAACAAACUGUAAUAUAAAAUCAUUUUAAAAGCUCAUAGGAGAAUAAUUUAUUGUUCGAGUUUUUAACAAGAUAUUGACAAAAAAAUUGUUGUUUUGUUUUCGUUUUCUUUUCAUGAAACUGUGAUCUUUUUUUUUUCGACUUCUGAACGCGAUCACGUCCCCAGCAAGGGCGAGCUAAAGCUGUGCGGUUAUGAGUUGUAUUUAAAACAAACAUUUUUCUUAAAAGCUGUAUAAAAGAUGUAUGUUUAUCAGAUCAAUUUUUAAGAGUGGAGGCUUCACACCAGUGAAGGGAGUUUGGUAAAUGGUUCGAUAUUUUUUAAACUUGCAUGUAAAGCUAAAACAAAAUGUGUUGAGUGCUUACCAAUUUCGGCUACCAACUUCAAGCUAUUGGAAGUUCGGCAGUAGUCUCACAAUGAUUUGUUUUGGUAUAUUUUUUUUAAUUUGUUUUGCUUUGGGGGAUUUGGGGGUUCUUUCCUUUUGGGGUAUUUUCCCUCCUUUUCUUUUUCUUUUUUUUUGUAAUUUAAGUUCCUAUUUUUGGUCGUUGAAACUGCACUUCAGUGAGCAGAAAAAUUGCCAAGCAAACUAAUGGCUGUAAAAGCAUAAACUGCAUGUGUGGGCAUCAAUUACUGAGCCUCAUUUUGAUGAGGUGUUGUACAAAGAGUUUUAAUACAUUUUGUAAAUAAAACUGUAAA